AUACUUAACUGGCAGGGAAGAUACCAUGAUCACGAAGGUGGUUUUCCCAGGGCGAAGCUUAUCCAUUGCACUCAGGAUGUGCUGACCCCUGUGAUUUCCCCAAAUGUGAGAAACUCAACUGCAUAAUUUGUGGUUAAA
This 138-nucleotide small nuclear RNA is filed under the name Dasypus novemcinctus (nine-banded armadillo). RNAcentral describes it as "U1 spliceosomal RNA (ENSDNOG00000027861.1)". It matches the Rfam family "U1 spliceosomal RNA", at positions 1 to 139 of the family's 166-position model. Rfam says of the family: U1 is a small nuclear RNA (snRNA) component of the spliceosome (involved in pre-mRNA splicing). The record is from RNAcentral. Lineage: Eukaryota; Metazoa; Chordata; Mammalia; Cingulata; Dasypodidae.